UACUGCACAAAAAAGAGAAGAGACAGAAUGAGAGAGACUUGGAUAUAGAAUGUCCUUCAAAGUCAUGUGUGGGCAAGGUACUGCAGUGCUGACAUUUCCUGUGGAGGUGAAGAGUUUCAGGCAUGCUGAAAAUAGAACCAUCUUGAGAAAGGGAUCAUGCAGCUGCCUUGUUCUCUGCCAGCCCUUUUCCACAAUUGGUCUUUAAGGUUUCCUGGUACAGUCGCAAUAACUGAGAUACGCUGUGGAGAUUUGGCUUAUCCACUAGCUGCCGCUUUAGUUCUUCAAUCUGUUGCGUGAAGGCCUGUUUCCCUCUGGACAGCUGAGAAAUUAUACCAUCUUUUUCCUCUGCCUGGCGAACACAACUGAAAGCUGAAUAUCCGUGGUAUGUAUGUAGCUCAGAAGUAAAAACAUUGGAUUCUGUCCUGUCUCAGAUGCAACUGCAGUACUUCCAACCUUCUGCCCAGUCCUUCAGCAAGAGAAGCCAUCACUGGGAAAACUGGAGACAUGGUUUCAAGAUCCUAAUCCAGCAGAGAGGAAACAAAUGCACCUUUCACAACAGAGUUCCCUGAGCGUCUGGCAGAUGAAGGAGAAAAGGAACACGGCCACCCAUUUAAUUAGGGCUGAACCACUUUACUGUUCCACAAGGGUUGCAAGCUCAACACUGGCUAAGACACGGAGUGGCUGAAAGGACCAUUAGCUACUGAGUUUAACAGUACCUUCUGUGCCAUCUGGCUCUGCCUGCUCCUCUCGCUGUUUCUGCUUGAAUUUCAAAUUCCCAUAGUGCAUGACAGCCCCUGUGAGCUUGUAGAUGGCAGUCUUUUCAUCAGCACUGAAGCCCAGGAUGUCAAUGGCACUCUAGUAAUAGAUUCAAUAUAGUGAAAUAUUUGUCUGAAUAUGAUAUAUGACCUAUAAAAGAUGACCUGUUUUAUGCGCUACUCACAUCUGUAGCCAUAAGCUCCUCCUUGUCAUCAAUGCUGGGGACAGUGAUCUCACCUUGACUCACAAAAGGGUAGUCGUAUGGGUUGGUGGUGAUAAGGAGCAUUUCUGAAAAUAAAUGGAUGUUCAUGGAUUAAAUUUCAGUAUUUUCAUAAUGUUAUUAAUUGUUGCUCUGUAAUCUUCCUCCAAAUAGCUCAGUGAUGUCUCCUACCUAUUAGCUCUGGCUUCUUGUUGGAUGUGAUCUGAUAAAAGAUGUGGUAGCUUCUUUCUGCCUUGAGCUGGAAAGUAACUCUGGACUUUUCCAGCAGAUCUGCCGAGGAAGGAGAAAAGAGUUAGGUACAAGACAGGACAUGGAGGUGGAAAUUCAGGAAGGAAUUUGAACAGGCCAGGAGCCACUCUUACAAGUUUCAAUGUCAGCAGAAGCCAGUUUGCCUGUGGCCCCAAAAUGGAUUCUGAUGAAUUUACCCUGUUGAGGAAAUGGGAUCAUUUCAGCCUGGAUGGCUUCUUUGGACAGCUCCUUAUUUAAGAAUAUCACUAGCCCCAUCAUUACUUUGUGGGGAGCAAUGACUUACAAAACGUGAGGAGUUGUCAUUCCUCACAGUCUUGGCAUUCCCAAAGGCCUCCAGCAGGGGGUUGGCACUGAUGAUUUGAUCCUCCAGUGUUCCCUACAGGAUAACAAUUAUUCCUGGAUAAUCCUUAUUUUCCAAAAUUCAUGCUAGGAACAGAAUAAACAUUUAUUUCAGCCAGUAUCGCUUAAUGUACCUGCAUUUUGCCAGGCUGGUCUUCCUUCUUCUUCUCCCCGCUAGCUGCAAUUGUUGCAAAGUACUGGAUGACACGUUUCGUGUUCACAGUCUUCCCUGCACCAGAUUCUCCGCUGUCAAACCAAACAGAGAAGCAGAGAGCGUGAGGUCAGGGAGAAGGUCCCCUGGCACAGGGCAGCCCCGCAGGGACCCGAGCUGGGAGCAUACUUACGUGAUCAGAAUUGACUGAUUCUCGCGGUCUGUGAAAGAGAUAGAGAUAAGGAGGCUUUUCCUACUGCUCAUAAAUAACAAGAAACACAAAAUGUGGGAGACAAAUAUGAACUGAAAUCUGCAGGGAGUGCAGGGAUGGGAGACAGUGAAAACCCCUGGGAGUUCCAGUUUUAGCUAUUGUCCUGAGUAGCACUGAGCUGGCUUAAAAUGUAAGUUGGAUCUUCUUCAAAAAGUCCAAGCAUUAAUUCCCCAAAGCAAGUAAUGUAUUUCCUUCCAUGUCCCAACGGUGGUAAGUAUAAGCUCAAAUUGAGGUAUACAGCUGUCAGAGGCCUGUGGUCCUCACACAAACCGUGUACCUUCUUGUCCCUCACACAGUUUUCAUGCAGGAAUCUGAUCAAGCUGCCUACCUCUGUUCAAAGUAAAAUAUUGUAUGGAAUAAUAAUAUGUUGAAUUCAGUCACUGCAAAAAAAGUAAAUUAUGAGUCCAGCAUUAAUUCUGCAGUGAGAGAGUGUAGCAUUAUGUAUGAUAUGCUGCUAGAAAUAAGACACACUGCUGAAUGUAUGCAUGCUUCUAGUACAGUGCUUGAAAUUAGUUCCUCCUUAACUUGAUCAGUUUCUGUCACACAGCUCCAUGAUGAUUGUACUGGCUUUUCAUACACUCCAGUAAGAGCAAUGGGGCUCUUCAGGUUGCUUUGAAGGAGAUCAGGCACUCACCAGUCAGCAUGAACUGAUAGGCGUUGUCAGAGAUAGAGAAGAUGUGUGGAGGAGCCUCCUGGCGCUUUUUGCCUCGGUAGGCCAACACCACCUCCGGGUUGUACACCGGCAGCCACUUGUAGGGGUUGACAGUGACACAGAACAGGCCCGAGUAGGUCUGCAAGGAAGGGACACAGCAUGUUGCAUUCCACUCAGCCUGGCACAACAGUCCUCCCAAGCUACGCUACCCAAGGAAGAGCUGCUGGUACUUACGUAGAUCAUCCAGGCUGCAUAACGCUCUUUGAGGUUGUACAGCACAGCGGGUUCAUGGAGGUGAGUCAUCAUGGCCAUGUCCUCAAUUUUAUCGUACUUGGGAGGGUUCAUGGAGUAGACCUGAUCAUCCUUCACAGUCAGAGUCUGUCAAGGAAUUGAAAGAUCUGUCUGUCAGCCAGAAGCUCAGAGUGGAGAUUAAAUGUUGAUGUGAAACUUGCUUUUUUCUCACCUCUCCACCUUCAGUCUUGACAGUGACCUUCCCUGUUUCCCUGCUCUGGAUUGUCCCUUUCACAAAGGAUUCCUUUGGAUGAGCCACAAAGACUGAUGACUUGGCAUCAAAAGGCUUGUUCUGGGCCUCAAUUCUUUCCUUCUCUGACUUUCGAAGAUAAGGAGCUGCCUCCCCAAAGACGGCCAUUUCAGCAUCUGAAGAAGCCAUGGCUGCUCUUCACUGAAGGCACCUCAGCAGAAUACUCUAACAGGGAGAAGUAACAUGGCACAGCUCAUUUAGAUAUAUUCUAUAACACUGUGAGACUGACUGUGACUUGGUUUUUCUUCAACUUGUACUAUAUGGAAUGUCUAACAUGUCCUAAUGGAAGAUUUGAUUGACUUAGGUUGACUUGGGAAACAAGAGGUCAUAACUGAUGCAGUCUAGGUGUUCAGACUUCUAGAAGAGCAACAUCUGAUCACCUUUCACAACUGUAGGCUUGGGGCUUUAAGAACAUCAUGUCUGCAAGAUGAGUGAAGUUGCUGAGCAAGAUUUAUUUUAAGACAUCAUUACUAGCAGUUGAAAUAAAGGUGGAGCAUUUUGUUUAAAGGCGGAGAAACAUUUCUAAUAACACGUAAUUUAAAGACCUAUAAACUUGAAAAACUUUGAACUUGUGGGGCAUUUACUUAUUAACUGUAAUUGUAACAGGAAGGCAGAGAAAACUAAUGAAUUUUGCUACUGAAGUUGCCAUCAGGAAGAAAAGGGCAGGAUCUGUGACCUUUUAAUACUCUGCUGUAAUUUAAUUUGUUUAUACAUUUGUCAUUCAUGACUACAAUGUCCAAAUACACUCAUCUUCAAAGUUCUGACUUGUAUGAAACAAAAUCCAUGCACUGAAAUUGGAAUUGCCAUGGCUGCACAAAGCUCCCAAAUAAAUACUUUCUGAAAAAAUCCAGGAACAGGGGAGUUCUCAAAACUUUAAUAAAAUAAGAAUGCUUCUUCAGAUGUUUUGCUGCAUCUGCCAUCGGAGGCAGGAAGAUAUAAACACAACCAUUUGAAAGCCUUACCAGCCAUGAGCACCCCACCGCCUGCCUACUGUAAUCACACCAGCUUGGAAUGCAGGGUGAAAAAGGUCUGGACUCUUCUGGGACUAGAAGCAAAGCACAGCGGGUAAAGGAGCAGAGGCAGACAGAAAGCCAUCUCUGGAUACAGACUGUCCUAUGCAUCAGGACUGCGAGGCAAUGCUGAUAUUGUCUGUGGUGGAGAGGGGUUUAGGCAUGUUGAAAAUAGAUCACUCCUGAGAUGGAUAUCGGGCAGCUGCCUCUCUGUCUACUAGCUUUUCAGAUAUAGGUUUUUUUCUCUUGAGUCCUGAGAGACAAAGCAUGAAAAGAUGUUUUUUAGCAGGGUGGCACAACAAGAACGAAGUGAGAAAGUGGAAUAACCUACAGGCUGCCAUAUGUUGGUUAGUGGGAAACUCCCUCUUGUGUGUGUUCAGUGCGGCUGAGUUCAUGAGUUGGAAACGCACCAGUGUACUUGUAUGACAGGAGGUUUUGCAGCAUGGAAAGGAAUCCUUUUACUUUUUACUGGGUCCUAGUGAUCCUCAGCCUUUCCCUCUGAGAACUACUCUCCAGCCCUCUGCUCCUCUGACUAGAACAGAGUGCUGUGCCAGAGGAAAGGAGGGAAAACACGGUUACAAACCUCUGACAUAUUACGGGCUGUAGGCAGCCAUCCUGUGUUCAUCUGGACAAAGAAAUUCUUCAUAUUUUUUCUAAGUCAAAAUGCACAUUAAAUACUUGUCCUCACAAAUUCCACUAUGGCAGAUGUACUGCUGGAAACUGCCUGUUUCCAUUUAUAAUUAGUGCAGUGCUACAAGCUUCAACUGUUCAAAGCUUUUUUUAGCCUUACUAACUUUAACCUUAUUGAGUCACUCUCACUUGUUUCCUCUUUCCCAGCUUCCUGGGUAUUCUCUUUUUCCUUGAAAAACACGCAUUUGGUUGAAAGGAAUUCAAGGAGUCAACUCAAACAAUGACACAAAAUUCAACUUUGUCAAAUUUGUGAAUGACACUAAAUUAGGCAGAUGACAAAUGACAGAGCUUCAUUCCAGAUACAUUAUGAGACAUGAAGACUGGAUCAACACAAAGCUUAUGAAGAUCAGUGUGGACAAGUGGAAAGCUCACACCUGGAAGAAAAGUAGCCUGAGGUGUCAGUAUGAGCUGGGAACUGACCAGUUCAGCAGGUGCUCUGCUAAAAAGGACUUCAGAGUUUUGAUGGGUGCCCAGAGGGAUAACGAGUGCUCUCCCUGCAAACAAGGCAAAGAUACUGGAUGAUGCUCUGAGCAUGUCCAGCUGACUGUCAGAAGCCAUAAUCCCUUUUGUUUGGUAUGAGUGAGUUGUCAUCUGAAAUGGUUUGUCCAAUGUGGGGCUCUCCAGUUCAAACAGGAUAUGAACUAAGAUGAUGAAGAUGGUCGAGGGUCUCGAAAACUAGUCCUGUAAAGAGACUUCUGGGGUUUUUAAUGUGAGGGGAAAAGGACUAAGUUCCAUGAAGGGCAGUUAAAAAUAUAAUGUUCUAAUCUUUUACAAUUAGUUGUAGGCAGUGUAACAAGGGACAGUGAUCAGGAAUCACAACUUGAGAGGCACCAGUUAGUCACUAGGAAAAAUCUUCACAAAUGUCUGUACAGAGGGAGAUCAAAGGAUUGCACAGUGUGUUCCUCCUGAGAUAUUUCUCACCAUCCCAGUAGUGAAGACUUCUAAAGUACAAACCCCCUCAAGCUGGUGAAAGACGUCAUGUGACUAAAGCAAAAACAAGCCACACAUGGGAAACCGUACUGAAAACUAUAAUCUGUGCUACCACCAGUAAUGGCAGACACCUAACCCUGUGUUAUGUGCAUAAGCACUUUCCUGCUACCUCUACGUGAAGCCUAAAAACCCUUUAACCUUCUCAGCUUUCAGAAACUUGUCCAUGUGUCCACCCCACACAGAGUCUGUAAUGCUCGCAGGACAGACAGAGCAGACAUCUCCUUUAACAGGGAUCCCCUUACACUCCUUGUUUUUGAGCCCUGGAAGACUGGAGAGAGCUCAGAGCUGCUCGGCUUCUGCUCAGACUUUGCUUCUCGUGGUUGAUGUCAGCAGAAGUGAUGCCCUCACUCAUCUCAAGCUGAUUCCCAGCUGAACACCGGCAGUACCUGUGCAGCUGCCGUGCUCCUGGUGGCACAGCACAUCCCAGCAGAGCAGGGCAAGCACCCAGGCGCUGCCUUCACACACUGCCAUUCCACUGGCUUAGAGGGGCUGCUCCGGCUUCUGACUGUUACCAUUUCAGCCCAGAAAGGAGCUGUGCCGGACGGAGCAAGACUUUCUGGGAUAAGAAUAGCACCUGCCAUCUUAGGACACAGCACAGUUGUCCAGCUCCUGCACGGCAACACGUUGCAGUGAGAUAUAGAAGGCAAGCUACCCGCUGAGGAAUGUCUUCCAGUGCUAUUCAUGGAGGCGUCUCAUCUACAGCAGCAGGCCCGGCCCCACGCAGGAGCCUUGCAAGAGGGGGUUAUUUUGAGCUUUGGGCCCUGAGGAUGAAGGGAGACAAAUGACAGCGAUCCUCCUGGCACAGGCAACCCCCAGAGCUUUGUGCACAACUGACACAGCCUGUCACCGCUUCUGGGGAAGACUCUUGUGAAGCUGCUGGGCGAUGUGGUGGGACCUGAGAGCCCAGAAGAUGGCGGCCAGGAAGGAACUGAGAAUUCCCUGGGGAAAUGAGGGCAGGCCUCAGGCCCACCUGUCCCAGAGCUCAGGCACUCCACUGCCUGCUUUGUUUUUGGCCACAUCCCUAAAGCAUCGGCACAUAACUUUGUGCAGGUGAAUGCUGUGAUCAGAGGUGAUGCAGUCAGACUUACAACUUGAUAGCUGCUUUAUCUUCAGAGUGUUACCUUCCCUUUCAUUUUGUGCUUUUGGUGUUCUCACUUUUUUAUGUUUUAAUAAAAAAAUAUUUUAAAAAUAA
This is a non-coding RNA of Coturnix japonica (Japanese quail), 7061 nucleotides long. Lineage: Eukaryota; Metazoa; Chordata; Aves; Galliformes; Phasianidae. The record is from RefSeq and is a predicted model, not a curated record.